This is a long non-coding RNA of Camellia sinensis, 2877 nucleotides long. RefSeq lists it as uncharacterized. NCBI's taxonomy places the organism in Eukaryota, Viridiplantae, Streptophyta, Magnoliopsida, Ericales, Theaceae. The record is from RefSeq and is a predicted model, not a curated record.
CUAGCGUUGCCAAUCGCUGCCACCGCUAGCCCUACGAGUCACCGUUGAUCGUCUCCUCUUAGAUCACCUCACCACUAGCCGAUUCGGUAACUGCUGCGAAAAGGCCAAAGAAUAGUGCAUUAGAAGUUGAUCUGGAUUUCGAGCACAAUCUGAGACUGCCCCUGUAAUCAUAGAGAUGAGUUUGAGAGCAAGCCAUUGGUUGCAAGUGAAGGAGGCAAUUUGGUGAAACUGAAGGAUGUUCUUGAAGGGCCCCAGACACUUGCUUUUCAAUUGAAGCCCAAGACGGUGGUGCUAAGGGUGUCAAUGCACUGCAAUGGUUGUACAAGAAAAGUUAAGACACACAUCUCAAAGAUGGAAGGUGGGGAAGACGCAAAUGCUAGAAGGCUUAUUUAAGGAAAAUAAUCUACCACUAGAUAUAUGCAAAGGAAUAUCUUAAAUAUGGUAUCCACCAAAUCAAGUUGCAAUUGGUUUGGUUUGUUUGGGAGUGCUAUAUUGUUGUUAACUAGCAAUAAGAGACAGGAUAUUCUCGAUAUCAUUCAUAUUCCCUAGUUUUUUGACCUGUCUGCAGCAAUGCAUCUUGCCAACGCAAGGCAGACUAAGAUUGAUGAUGCUACUGAUGAUGACAUCCCCAGUACCUGGGGGAGGCAAUUUACAGAUGCUACUUUCUCUGAUUCAUCGCAUUCAAAAGUUUCAAAGGUUAGGCAUUUGAGAUGAUGUUUCUAGGAUAGGUAUGAAGCAUAAUUUGUUCUUUUUUCUUUUCAUUUAUUAUAAUUUCUCUUGUUUCAUCAAUUUGAUUAAAUUCAAAAGCAUGUGGUACCGUUUUACUCUUCUUUUUUUUUUUUUGGUUGUCUAUGUGACUAUAAUUCAUCUGGUUUGAAGUGGAUCUCUUAAAGUAAAAGAAAAUCUAGAAUGUUUUAUUUGUAGAUUUCUAGUCAUUUAGGGUCAGUGAGCAUGCCCAAAAACUGUUUUCAAUUAUCUUUUUUUAUCUUUAUGCUUUUGUUGGCUUUCAUUGCUUUAUUAUGGAUUUUCUUUACAAGGAUUAUAAUUUGUUAAAUCUUUAUAUCAAAUUGUGUUACUUUUUUAUUUUUUAUUUUGUAAACAAUGUUUGGUUCCAAAACCUGUUGCAAACUUGAUUUGCUUAAACCUAUGGUUUCAUGCAACAUGAACAUUAGAUGGAAAUGUACUAUCUAUACCAACAUAGUUCUCUAAAUUGUUUGGUUAUUUUGAACGAAGAUGUGUUAGAGACUAGCACAUAUCAAAAUUGUUCACAUAUAUAUAUAUAUAUAUAUAUAAGAACACUCCAAAAUUAUUAGAGAAAAUCAUAUGAAAAGCAUUACAUUAGGAAAAAAAAUUGGAUCACUGUGGAUUUGUAUGCUUUCCGUGUUUCUUAUUACAUUUACUUAUUAACUGUUAGCUUCAUUUCUAUAUAUUUAUUUUUGUGUGUUGGAAGUUGUCAAUUGCAUACUUUAUGUGGAUAUGCACAUGAUUUAUUCUUUUCUGAGAUAUUUGAAGGUACGUUUGGGGUGCACAAGUUGUAGCCCGAAGAAUGCCUAACAUGGGUACUAUUAAGAGAUUAACCAUUUGGUUGUACUCAGGAGGGUUCGAAAAGUGUCAUGAAGUGUUCAUGAAAAGUCGUUUGUCUGAAAUUAUGAAAUUUUACUUUAAACUUAAGAAACGUUUCUAGGAGUGUGUGACACAAACACAGCUCCUCCCUAGAAGUGGCCAUGCUACUUAGGUGCCCACAAUCACAUUGCUCUCUAUCUAUAUCAGUUGAUUUUUCUUGGAAAUCACGGUGUAUCUGGCUCAUUUUAUUCUGUAGCUUGCACCAAAGUUAGCUUGCACCUGCAACUCACUUUUAAGCCAACAUGUUUAUGAUUAAAAAAUAUUAUGGCUGGGAAACGAUGAAGCUGACAGAAUUCUCUACAAGUGCUGAAUUAGAGGGCUUUCGUGCAUCAAAAGAGGUAAUGCUUUCUUCAUAUAAAUUGACAAUUAUGAAUAAUCUAAAAUCAGAUAGUGUAUCAUUUAAGAUGAAUCAAGUGGUAUCAGAGAUCUUGGUUUAGUAGUUCUAAGUGUUCAACUAUUUGAUUUUCACUUAAUAAUGGAAUGUGCAAGUGUUGGUAGUUGUCUUUCUCAUGCUUUAAUGAUAUAAUUUGCUUUAUGCAUGCAUCCCUUUCUUCAUUGGACUUCUCGUGAAGUAUGCAGUUUUUAUUAGUUAGUUACACAUUUGUAUAAUAGUAUGAUAACUACAAUUAGAUCUUUGCUUCUUCUUUUUCUUUUUCUUUUUUUUUUCUUUUUUUUUUUUUUUUUUUUUUUUUUUUUUUUGUGUGGUACCAUUCAUUUUGCAAGUAUGGCUACAAGUCAACAAGUCUUGCUCAUUUUGACAGUCACAUGAAUUAAUUUAUCAAUAUGGGGGAGCAGAAGACCCCACUUUAGAUGAUGAAGAAUGGUCGCAGAUAUCUGAAAUGCACUCAAGGUAUUUGCACAAUCAACAUUCAAUUGCAUUUCUUUUGUAGAACAUUAAAUAUUUGAGAUGGAUAGAGCCUCUUAAACUAAGUUGUUGGUUAUAGUAAAACUUCUGUUGAACUUGCAAUUUUUGUGGGUAAAGUGACAUUUUGUUUUUACAUGCUUCAUGUCAUGCUAGAGGUAUUUAAUGUUGAGACAUUUGAAGCGGUGUGAUCAGUCGGACUUUAUCUUUUGUAAGACUAAAAUAAUCUCUACAAAUAGCUAGUUUCUUCAUAGCGAUUUCUAAAUUAAUUUGUGAUUUUAUUUUUCAGGUCAGAAAUUUCUUAGAGAGAUGCAAAAUAUGGUCAAAGAAUUCAAGAACUUAGUUUUUCAAGUUUUUCAUUUUUUAAUACAUGUAAGCACAAUUUAAAACUU